Molecule: ribosomal RNA, 1806 nt
Filed under: Derodontus sp. BT0162
Lineage: Eukaryota; Metazoa; Arthropoda; Insecta; Coleoptera; Derodontidae
Description: SSU rRNA
Rfam family: Eukaryotic small subunit ribosomal RNA
Source: RNAcentral
CAUGCAUGUCUCAGUACAAGCCCAAUUAAGGUGAAACCGCGAAAGGCUCAUUAAAUCAGUUAUGGUUCCUUAGAUCGUCCCCACAUUACUUGGAUAACUGUGGUAAUUCUAGAGCUAAUACAUGCCAACAGAGCUCCGAAAGGAGUGCUUUUAUUAACUAUAAAACUAAUCGGUAUCGAGAUUAUUCUCUUUAUCGAAACACUUGGUGAAACAAAAUAACAAGCUGAUCGCACGGUCAAGCACCGGCGACGCAUCUUUCAAAUGUCUGCCUUAUCAACUUACGAUGGUAGGUUCUUUGCCUACCAUGGUUUUAACGGGUAACGGGGAAUCAGGGUUCGAUUCCGGAGAGGGAGCCUGAGAAACGGCUACCACAUCCAAGGAAGGCAGCAGGCGCGCAAAUUACCCACUCCCGGCACGGGGAGGUAGUGACGAAAAAUAACGAUACGGGACUCAUCCGAGGCCCCGUAAUCGGAAUGAGUACACUUUAAAUCCUUUAACAAGGAACAAUUGGAGGGCAAGUCUGGUGCCAGCAGCCGCGGUAAUUCCAGCUCCAAUAGCGUAUAUUAAAGUUGUUGCGGUUAAAAAGCUCGUAGUCGAAUGUGUGUCUCUCGUCUCCGGUACAACUUCUGUUGCAACUGGAGUUUCGAUAGAUAUCCUGUCGGUGGAUUUCCUGUUAAAAGGCUUUCCAACUAAAAAUCUCGCUUUGGUGCUCUUCAAUGAGUGUCGUGGUGGGCCGACACGUUUACUUUGAACAAAUUAGAGUGCUUAAAGCAGGCAAAAUAAUGCUUGAAUAUUGUGUGCAUGGAAUAAUAGAAUAGGACCUUGUGUUUAUUUUGUUGGUUUUCGGAUAACGAGGUAAUGAUUAAUAGGAACAGAUGGGGGCAUUCGUAUUGCUACGUUAGAGGUGAAAUUCUUGGAUCGUAGCAAGACGAACAGAAGCGAAAGCAUUUGCCAAAAAUGUUUUCAUUGAUCAAGAACGAAAGUCAGAGGUUCGAAGGCGAUCAGAUACCGCCCUAGUUCUGACCAUAAACGAUGCCAGCUAGCGAUCCGCCGAAGUUCCUCCGAUGACUCGGCGGGCAGCUUCCGGGAAACCAAAGCUUUUGGGUUCCGGGGGAAGUAUGGUUGCAAAGCUGAAACUUAAAGGAAUUGACGGAAGGGCACCACCAGAAGUGGAGCCUGCGGCUUAAUUUGACUCAACACGGGAAACCUCACCAGGCCCGGACACUGGUAGGAUUGACAGAUUGAUAGUUCUUUCUUGAUUCGGUGGUUGGUGGUGCAUGGCCGUUCUUAGUUGGUGAAGUGAUUUGUCUGGUUAAUUCCGAUAACGAACGAGACUCUAGCCUGCUAACUAGGCGUAUUACCGGCAUCUUGAAGGCCCGUUCGUCAUAGCAGUGCAUUGCAAUGUUGUGUUCGUAACGUGGUUUUUACUGCCGGCGUACAAACUAUUCUUCUUAGAGGGACAAGCGGCUUUUAGCCGCACGAGAUUGAGCAAUAACAGGUCUGUGAUGCCCUUAGAUGUUCUGGGCCGCACGCGCGCUACACUGAAAGAAUCAACGUGUUACCCUGCCCGUAAGGUCCGGGUAACCCCUGAACCUCCUUCGUGCUAGGGAUUGGGGCUUGAAAUUUUUCCCCAUGAACGAGGAAUUUCCAGUAAGCGCGAGUCAUCAGCUCGCGUUGAUUACGUCCCUGCCCUUUGUACACACCGCCCGUCGCUACUACCGAUUGAAUGAUUUAGUGAGGUCUCCGGACUAGCACACGUGGCGUUUACGUCGCUGUUGAUGCCAGCAAGCUGACCGAACUUGAUCA